GUGACACAGUCAGUUGAGCUUCCGAGCACAUCAGAGCCGGGUAAAGGGAGCUGAGAAUGGAGGGGCUGUGUUGGACUUUGCUGCUGAUGGCCUUGCAGAUGGAUGGAGUCCUUUCCAACUCCAACCUGAUCAUUUUGCAGGCAGUACAGGAUGCCCGGGAGGGUGAGACAGUGAGACUGGGCUGUAGAAACAACCAGCAGCAGGAUGACCGCUUGCUAACCUGGGGCUAUGUGCCAGCGGGCAACUCCACCAUCAAAUGGAUCAUGUCCCUGAGCCCGGGAUCGAAUAACUUCACCCGGCUGGCAGCGUUUGAGCCCCGUUUCUCCGGCGCCAAUGACAGUGAAUUCAGUUUAACCGUCGAGCAGGUGAAACGGGGGGACUCCAUGAGGUUUUACUGUCAAAGUGCGGACGUUGUGGUGAACGCGAAAGACUGGUGUGGCUGUGCAGUGACCCUCAACGUGAAACCAGCCAUCUCACCGAGACCACCUUCCGUUCUACUCCUUCAGCCAUCACCUGAGGAAAUUUCCCUGCAGGAUGACUGCAAACUGGUCUGUGUGGUGAGUGAUUUCUACCCAGAUACUGUCUCUGUGUCUUGGUACAUUGGCAGCACCCAGCUCUCCUCAGGGAUUUCCAACUCCGGGAUACUGAUGGAAUCAGAAGACAGUUACACCAUCAUCAGUGAGCUGACGGUGCCAACACUUCAGUGGCUACGUGGUCUUCAAUAUACCUGCCUUGUUUCACACAAAACCCUGUCUUCCCCCAUCAGAAAAGUGAUCAAUAAAGAUGGCCUGAUUCCGCCAUCCAUCUACGUGUUCCCUCCAACUUUUGAAGAGAUUGAUGUGAGGAAAACUGCAACAGUUGUGUGUCUGGCUGUUGGAUUUUAUCCAAAAAACAUUUUGUUUAGUUGGCUGGUUAAUAACCGGAAAACUGCUUUUAGUUCGAAAACUCUUCCACCAAUUUUAAAUGCAAAUGGGAGUUAUACUUCCAGAAGUGAGUUAACAGUCACUGUGGAUGAGUGGGAAUCUGGAUCUUUGUACACUUGUCAAAUUCAACAUGUUUCAUUGUCAUCUCCUAUGAGGCACAGUUUGAGGAAAAGAAAUGAUGGUUUCAUUCAAAAGCCUGUGAUCCACCUGAUCGCUCCUCUGUCUGAUGCUGCCGCUGCAGGGCAGAACGUUACUAUGACUUGCUUGGUGUCAGACUUUUACCCUGCCGAUAUUUCUGUGACUUGGAGAGAUGAGAAUGGCCCAGUGGAUACGGGAGUGACCCAGUUUGCAGUAGCUUUGGGCAGUACCAGUACUUACCGAACAGUGACCCAAUUGACCGUGCCGACAACAGAGUGGGAGAAUAAACGUACUUACUGGUGUGAAGUGAAACAUGUGUCCCUGGGACAGGCACUGCAGAGAGCUGUCACUAAGGAUCUGGGGAUAUCCAGUGGAUCCCCAAGGAUAAUGGUUCCUCUGUGCAUUGUGGUUGCUGUCAGUGGUUUGCUUUUAAUUAUCGCUGCUGUUACAAUCAUCCACAAGAAAGCCACUUCUUCCUCCGGCACUGAGACUGCAAAUUUCAGUGAGAUGCUGAGCCUGAACACCAGACAGGAAUCCUUCUACGAAAACAUCUAUUACAAGUGAAGAGAAAAUCUUCAUCGGGGCUGCAGAACAUUACCUUCAAUGAAAACCUCAACCUGAGAACUGAUCAGGAGUAAAAGAUGACGUAGAGUCUUGUUGGAGAUGGCCAGAUCCUGGCAUCUAUUAAGCAAAGUGCAGAAUUUGUGUUUAAAGGAUAAUACAUAUUCCCACUGCUUGCUCAGUUUUCAAUGCAGUCUUCACAAGGAAUAAAGAAUGUUGAUCUAGAAUUAAUUUUAUCAUUUCAAUAUAUGUUUGCCAAGGGAGUUCUUAAGUAUACAGGACUAAUGUUAGUUGUUGAGCUUCAGCCAGUUGUCAGUUCACAUGAGUUGACAGUUUUGGAAAUGGAUGAUGCAGUGAACAUUGGCUAUUUAUAAUUUCCAAGCCCCUAGUUUGACGUGAGUUUUUCUAUUGGGAGUUGGGAUUUGGUAUUUAUCCCAAUGAUACAGAAUAAAGCCUUUCCUGUUUCAAUGGGAAACAUUA
Rhincodon typus (whale shark) is the source of this 2102-nucleotide non-coding RNA. Lineage: Eukaryota; Metazoa; Chordata; Chondrichthyes; Orectolobiformes; Rhincodontidae. The record is from the annotation of a RefSeq genome assembly.